GAUGAACGCUGGCGGCGUGCCUAAUACAUGCGAGUCGAGCGAACAGACGAGGAGCUUGCUCCUCUGACGUUAGCGGCGGACGGGUGAGUAACACGUGGAUAACCUACCUAUAAGACUGGGAUAACUUCGGGAAACCGGAGCUAAUACCGGAUAACAUGUUGAACCGCAUGGUUCAACAGUGAAAGACGGUUUUGCUGUCACUUAUAGAUGGAUCCGCGUCGCAUUAGCUAGUUGGUAAGGUAACGGCUUACCAAGGCAACGAUGCGUAGCCGACCUGAGAGGGUGACGGGCCACAGGUGAACUGGGACCCGCUCCAGCCCCCUCGGGGAGGAGCAAGGGGGGAUUCUUCCCAAAGGGGCAAAGGCCGGACGGAGCAACCCCGCGGGAGAGAAAAAGUUCUCGGGAUCGAAAACCUCUUUAAUGGGGAAAAAACAAAUUUGUAAGAACCUCUGCGCGUCUGGAGGUUCCCUAAUAAGAAGGCCCCGCCAACCUCCGUC
This 497-nucleotide ribosomal RNA is filed under the name uncultured bacterium. Its description in RNAcentral is "partial 16S ribosomal RNA". It matches the Rfam family "Bacterial small subunit ribosomal RNA", at positions 28 to 508 of the family's 1533-position model. The record is from RNAcentral.